UACAGAGGUCCCGAGCGUUGUUCGGAUUCACUGGGCGUAAAGGGUGCGUAGGUGGCUUGACAAGUUUGAUGUGAAAGCUCAGGGCUUAACCCUGAAAUGGCAUUGAAUACUGUCGAGCUGGAGGUUUGGAGGGGGGACUGGAAUUCUUGGUGUAGCAGUGAAAUGCGUAGAUAUCAAGAGGAACACCAGUGGCGAAGGCGAGUCCCUGGACAACACCUGACACUGAGGCACGAAAGCUAGGGGAGCAAACAGG
RNAcentral lists this ribosomal RNA (253 nucleotides) under uncultured bacterium. RNAcentral's name for it is "partial 16S ribosomal RNA". It matches the Rfam family "Bacterial small subunit ribosomal RNA", at positions 524 to 776 of the family's 1533-position model. The record is from RNAcentral.